GAAAAUAUUAUAGUAUGAGGUUCUUGGCAUUUUAAGGAAUUAUAGGAAAUUCUCAUGAAGACAGUUUUGCCCCUGGUACUAAAUUCUAAAAGACAAAUCUUACAUAGAGCUUAUGUAGAAGGAAUUGAAUACUGGGAAUAGACAGUAUCCUCAAAAAAAGAGAGAAAUAGUUCAUGUGGCAAACUUCAAUAAAAGCUAGAGCUAUAAAACUAAAGCAUAUUUCACUGGAGACUGAUUUUCUUUUCCCCCAAGGAAAUUUACAAGGGCCUAAGUACCAUAAUCUUCUGGUAGUCUUAGUCUUCCAUUAACUCUUUCAACUUAUGGUAUGUAUUAUGGACCGAACUGUAUUUCCCCUAAAUUCGCAUGUUGAAACCCUAACUCACAGUAUGACUGUAUGUGGAGCUAGGGCCAUAAAGAGGUAAUAGAAGUUAAAUGGAAUCUUGAGGAUGGAGCCUUAUAAACCAAUAGGACUGGUGUGAUGUUCUGGUGUGAAGAGGAAGAGACAUAAGAGGGUCUCUCUCUCUCUCUCAGCCGCACAGAGGAAAGACCAUGUGAGGAUAUGGUGAGAAAGUGGCCAUCCACCAACCAGGAAGAGAAGCCUCACCAGAAACCAAUCUUGCCAGCACCUUGAUCUUGGACUCCAAGCCUCUAAGACUGGAAAAUUUGAAGCCAGAGGCCCCCCCGCCCCUGCCACCCCAAUUCCACAUUUCUAAGAAGGACCGAAAGAGCUGGUAGUCUGCUUCCUGGGGGGAAGCCUGAAACAGAAGUAGAUGUUAGUAGCUGCCCAGAAGAACCAGAGCUGCCACUGCCCUUGCCAGAAGACCUGAUUUCUGUGUGUAUGGCCACCACCUCGUACUGCUCACUUCUGCAUCCAAAUCUCAGGCACUCUGACCUGCCAUGUGGCUGCAGACUCCUGCUCUCAAGUUGUCCUGACAUGCUCUCCCUGAACAUCUACAACAUACAUACAGCACCUGGAUCUGUGAAUUAAUUACUAUCUAGGCUACCACCGAGACGCUUUCUAAAUGGCCGAGUGCAAGGAUCUUCCUGUUUCUUAUCGAAGUACAUUCUUCCAUCGCAGCCCUGAGUCCAUGAAUUGACCCUUAACUAUGAAUUCCUGCUACACUUCCCUUUCAGUCAGCCAUUUUAGAGCAGGAAGUAGCCAGAAGCAGGUGUCAGCCGGCAGCUGUGGCUUAUAAUUCAUACAUAUAUUUUUAAAGAUUUUAUUUAUUUAUUUGACAGAGAGAGACACAGCGAGAGAGGGAGCACAAGCAGGGGGAGUGGGAGAAAGAGAAGCGGGCUCCCCGCUCUGCGGGGCUGGAUCCCAGGACCCUGAGAUCAUGACCCGAGCCGAAGGCAGACGCUUAACCGACUGAGCCACCCAGGCACCCCAUAAUUCAUAUUUUUUUGCAGGUAAAUCUAUCUAAGCUGGUUUCAAGUUAUCUUGUUAGAAAUUAAAAAUGUGAGAGUGGGGGGAUAGGUAGUUUUACAUGCUUAAGCAUUGUUCAGUAAACAAAUUUGUUCAGAAACUCAAAAGUUAAAGGAAAGAGAGCUUUGCUUGGAGUUCUAAAAUUUUAUAGGUUUUUCUUCCAAAUGGUGAAAAAUGGAAUACAGUAUUAUUAUUAUCAUUAUUAUUAUUAUUCCAUGGACAGGUGUGAGCUUGGGUAUAUUAAAGUUCUUGGCUUUCUUUUGAUUUUA
Long non-coding RNA from Mirounga angustirostris (Northern elephant seal), 1695 nucleotides. RefSeq lists it as uncharacterized. The transcript is spliced from 4 exons. The record is from RefSeq and is a predicted model, not a curated record. NCBI's taxonomy places the organism in Eukaryota, Metazoa, Chordata, Mammalia, Carnivora, Phocidae.